Molecule: non-coding RNA, 112 nt
Organism: Bacillus pumilus SAFR-032
Lineage: Bacteria; Bacillati; Bacillota; Bacilli; Caryophanales; Bacillaceae
Source: Rfam
GCGAUGAGCUGAAUUGUGUAAGUCGGGUAACAUGUCUCUUUGAGACACACACGAAUGUGGCGUGUGGUUAUUCCGCCUCAAUACGCAAAAGACAUCUUCUUAGGAAGAUGUC